This 77-nucleotide transfer RNA is filed under the name Hadesarchaea archaeon. RNAcentral describes it as "tRNA-Thr". It matches the Rfam family "tRNA". From Rfam's summary of the family: Transfer RNA (tRNA) molecules are approximately 80 nucleotides in length. Their secondary structure includes four short double-helical elements and three loops (D, anti-codon, and T loops). The record is from RNAcentral. Lineage: Archaea; Methanobacteriati; Hadarchaeota (SeqCode); Hadarchaeia (SeqCode).
GCCUCGGUAGCUCAGGUGGUCAGAGCGCACCCUUGGUAAGGGUGAGGCCGCGGGUUCAACUCCCGCCCGAGGCUCCA